UAGGGAAUCUUCCGCAAUGGGCGAAAGCCUGACGGAGCAACGCCGCGUGAGUGAUGAAGGUCUUCGGAUCGUAAAACUCUGUUGUUAAGGAAGAACGAGUGUGAGAAUGGAAAGUUCAUACUGUGACGGUACUUAACCAGAAAGGGACGGCUAACUACGUGCCAGCAGCCGCGGUAAUACGUAGGUCCCGAGCGUUGUCCGGAUUUAUUGGGCGUAAAGCGAGCGCAGGCGGUUAGAUAAGUCUGAAGUUAAAGGCAGUGGCUCAACCAUUGUAGGCUUUGGAAGCUGUUUAACUUGAGUGCAGAAGGGGAGCGUGGAAUUCCAUGUGUAGCGGUGAAAUGCGUAGAUAUAUGGAGGAACACCGGUGGCGAAGGCGGCUCUCUGGUCUGUAACUGACGCUGAGGCUCGAAAGCGUGGGGAGCGAACAGG
Molecule: ribosomal RNA, 429 nt
Filed under: Bacteroidota bacterium
Lineage: Bacteria; Pseudomonadati; Bacteroidota
Description: Bacteroidetes bacterium partial 16S ribosomal RNA
Rfam family: Bacterial small subunit ribosomal RNA
Source: RNAcentral